GGGUUAAGUCUUCGUCCAGAGGUAGAACGUGCUCCUGCAAAGGGUGAGACGCGGGUUCAACUCCUGCCCCAGGCCCA
This is a non-coding RNA of Parelaphostrongylus tenuis, 77 nucleotides long. Lineage: Eukaryota; Metazoa; Nematoda; Chromadorea; Rhabditida; Metastrongylidae. The record is from the annotation of a GenBank genome assembly.